GACGAACGCUGGCGGCGUGCCUAAUACAUGCAAGUAGAACGCUGAAGGAGGAGCUUGCUCUUCUGGAUGAGUUGCGAACGGGUGAGUAACGCGUAGGUAACCUGCCUGGUAGCGGGGGAUAACUAUUGGAAACGAUAGCUAAUACCGCAUAAGAGUAGAUGUUGCAUGACAUUUACUUAAAAGGUGCACUUGCAUCACUACCAGAUGGACCUGCGUUGUAUUAGCUAGUUGGUGGGGUAACGGCUUACCAAGGCGACGAUACAUAGCCGACCUGAGAGGGUGAUCGGCCACACUGGGACUGGGACACGGCCCAGAAUCCUACGGGAGGCAGCAGUAGGGGAUCUUCGGCGAUGGACGGAAGUCUGACCGAGCAACGCCGCGUGAGUGAAGAAGGUUUUCGGAUCGUAAAGCUCUGUUGUAAGAGAAGAACGAGUGUGAGAGUGGAAAGUGCACACUGUGACGGUAUCUUACCAGAAAGGGACGGCUAACUACGUG
Molecule: ribosomal RNA, 495 nt
Filed under: uncultured bacterium
Lineage: Bacteria
Description: partial 16S ribosomal RNA
Rfam family: Bacterial small subunit ribosomal RNA
Source: RNAcentral